AGAAAAAAUUAUAAACAUUUCAAACUGCAGAUUGAAAAAUGGGGGAAAACUCCUCAAGCAAUUUCAUACUAGGAAAUACACAACUUCAACAUGUGUGCAAUCUUUCUGCAAAGUUUCGAUGGUGCAGAAACACUGAAAAUAGAAAAUACAAAUAUUAUGCCAAAUGGUGCUAUAUAGUGAAAUAUUUACACAAAGGACCAAAUUUAGUAAUGUGAAAGUGAACUCAAAGAUGAUAAAAAUACUGAUUCUUUAAAAUAAAAAA
Molecule: long non-coding RNA, 262 nt
Filed under: Mytilus galloprovincialis (Mediterranean mussel)
Lineage: Eukaryota; Metazoa; Mollusca; Bivalvia; Mytilida; Mytilidae
Source: RNAcentral